RNAcentral lists this ribosomal RNA (305 nucleotides) under uncultured bacterium. Its description in RNAcentral is "bacterial SSU rRNA". It matches the Rfam family "Bacterial small subunit ribosomal RNA", at positions 334 to 655 of the family's 1533-position model. The record is from RNAcentral.
AGGCCCUACGGGGGGCAGCAGUGGGGAAUAUUGCACAAUGGGCGAAAGCCUGAUGCAGCAACGCCGCGUGAAGGAAGAAGGCCUUCGGGUCGUAAACUUCUGUCCUUGGGGAAGAAGAACUGACGGUACCCAAGGAGGAAGCCCCGGCUAACUACGUGCCAGCAGCCGCGGUAAUACGUAGGAUGCGAGCGUUAUCCGGAUUUAUUGGGUUUAAAGGGUGCGCAGGCGGCCUGUUAAGUCAGCGGUAAAAGCCCGGGGCUCAACCCCGGCGAGCCGUUGAAACUGGCGGGCUGGAGUUGGAGAGG